GGCAUAUUAAUAUAAGAAAUAACACAAUAUUUCAAUACAAAAAUAUAUCAAAGUGUACUAUAGUUUUACAAACUAAAUUGAAAUGUCAUUCACUUCAACCAUUACGAUUACAAGAAACUUCAAAUCUUGCUUGAACUUCAAAUCACUACAAAAACUUGCUUAAACUUCAAAUCACUAGCAUCCAAACUCAAGAUAGGAUCUGCAACAGUUCAUGAAACUCAGCGGAUUUCACUACGAUAUCACCUGGCUGCAAAGAGAAAUACACAAUAAGCGACUUCAUCCAAACUCAAAACAUGGAUGAAUAUAGCAUACUUGAUGAAUUUAGUACUACCAGCCAGUUAAGUUAUAUGGUGGAAUAAGACAUGUUAGUUGACAAGAAUAUAUUACAACAAUAACAACAUAAUACACAGUGAAAUUUCACAAGCGGGUUUGGGAAAGGUAGAAUAUACGCACAAGUAAUGACUUAUCCCCAGUUACGCUUGUCAGGGAGCAAAAGGAAAACAAUUACUAUUGUUUAUGUCCAGCCAAAUAAUACAACUUACAGAGUUAAGAGCCUGCUCAAGAAAUACAUCAGUAGCUACCUUUUUGUGUAACUCAAACCAAUUGGGUCUGCGAUGGCCACAAGCCACUACUCCCCUGUACUAAUUUUACUUUUUAAUGAAAUGCUUCAUAUUUCCUUACCAAAAAAAAAGUAACAACAAAUGGGUCCUAGUUAGAUAAAGUCUAAAGAUUAAUUCAUUGGGAAAAGAAAUUAAUUAGUAAUAUCUAUAUGGCUAGAUCUCACAUUAGUUGUACACUGAAAUGUACCUCUAAUCCUUAAUUCUUUGAAGUAUCAAAGUUCCAGAGAAAAAGAUUUUACUUACCAAUGCCAACCACCUUGCUAUGCCUAUAUAACAUAAUUAUAGGUGCAGUAAGUUCUCAAGACAAUGUAAAAUAUUCAUUAAACAACACCAACAACUAUAUAAAAGCUAUAACUUGAAAUGUAAAAGUCCAACUAGUGAAUUAGAAAAUACCAGUUACUAUUCAGAUGAUCAAUUAUAAUUUUUUGAAAAGGCACAAUUACUAAAAAUAAUGUGACCUCUCAAAACUGAACAUGAGUCUAAUGAUGCUUAGGAUUGGGUCUGUUGGGAGAAAUUGAAUUUUGCUUGCAAAAAGAGUCCACUGGCCAUCCAAGAUGUAAUCUUGGCAAUAAUCUUGUCCACUAAGGGUUUAAUUGGACUAUUGUAAGCCUUUUAGGUGUCGUUUAAUACAAAGAUUAAUAAUGUAGGGAUUAGUAAUGCAAGGUUCCUUAGUAAAAUUGUUUGGCACACCUAGAUAUUUGAAACAGAGUUCUCCAACCUCAUAUCCAAGCAUAGUCAAGAUGGUUUCCUUAGUAAAUUUGUUAAUACCUUCAAAACAUACCUGACUUUUCAAAAUGAUGGUCUUCAAAUCAGAAGCAUCAGAAAACAUAUUGAAUUUACCCCUCGAUAGUUGUAGUUGUAUAGAUCUGACAUCUCAUCUAGUAAAUAUAGUAAGUCAACAGCAACAAAGUACUGAUUCAAAACUGAUGUCAACAUCUAGAUGGAAAAAAAUGUUUCAUCAAACUUUCUUAGUUGUAAAUCAGCACAACUACAAAGAAAAAAGACAUUCUUGCAACUCUUCCAAAUCUGUUUGGGUUAAAGGAAUUUUGCAUUUAACUAUCAUUCCAUCUUCACUAACUAUCUAAAGGACAAAAUCAAAUAAAAAAAUACAAUAAACUCACAAGAUUUGUAGAGCGUCGCAGAACUUGAGCGAGUUGUGCAUGACUGCUUAUAAGAGCUUUUAUCUUCUUCAACAAUGCAGCCACAAAUAUUGACACUAUAGCACGAAAAAAUAGUGCAAACUGUCUUAAAGAAAGAUCUCAUCAGAAAAAUGAGAACCAAAUUUAAAAAGAAUAGCUGAAAAGUAGAUGAAACUUACGGAAAUAGCUGGGAAUAUAGACGAAAUCAGGUUCAGUAAUGUGGGAGGAGAUAGUGGUGGGAGUGACGUCUUUGGGAUCGGUGGCAAAAGGGAUGGUUGGGUUUGGGGACAAUUCCAGUUGUUGGGGAUGAUCGUAACAUGUAUACUCAAUAUACUCGAUAUGGUUAGUCAAUCGAUAAAGUGAAACAACCUUAUGGUGCUACUUCUAAUCCUACACAGGCUGAUGACGCGACAAGAAAGAACAGUUCAUCAUCAAACAAGUUGAAAACACCACAUUUCUCCAAUAUCACCACCUUAUAACAUAGAAACAAAUAUCAUAUCUCUCAAAUUUACCAGAUUCACUUACAACUAACAAAAAUCAAUUAAGAAGUUAAUCUAUCCAACCAAAAAAUCAAUUACUAGCAAGUUAUUCUCUAUGUAAACCUUAUUUAAUUAGAUUAUCCAUAUUGAAACCCUAAAGAAUCGAAGUUUAGGGGAAAUCCAAAAAGUACAAUAGUUAUAAACCUUAGAAAGAGCUGAAGCUUCUCCAUGGUGCAGGACGUAGGGCAACGAGCCUAUUGGAGCAUUCUUUUACUCCAAAAUCGGCGAAGAUAUUGCAGAUUUUCUGAAACUAAAAUAGAUUCAAAAUACAAAUCUCAAAACUUUUUACAAACAAUUUGAAGUUGAGAAAAAAAAAAUCAGUUGAUUUAUAGAUUGAAAAUGCAUGAAAAUGAGGAAAAGAGAACUCAUUUUUGAAGCUUUCGAUGUCUAAAUUAAGGAGCAAUUGUUAAAUAGAGAGAAAUUGGGAAGUAAGAGAGGAGAAGAGAAGUAUGAACCAACGAUACCGCCAAUCGCCACCGCCGCCUCCAUCUUUUCCUACUCCGACCACUGUUAUUGUGGAUGAAGACAGUGAUAGCUCCGCCACCAUGGAUUCGCCACCGUGCCGCCUCCAUCACUUCCUACUCCAACCCUAAUUAUCAUAUGAAAAUUGAUCAGUUCGGGAUCGCAGAAAAUAGAAUGAAACUUUUUUUUAUUUGGGGAUUAAAUGAGCAACGAUAUAAAAUUUUAUUUUUUAGGAUAGCGGCGGGUAAUAACCCCACAAAUUCUACUAAAAUUAUAGGGGUUAAUCAAACCUCCGUAAUUUGAUGUAAUUUGUGGGGGUUGAGUUAACCUCCAUUAUAAAACCUCUAGGAUUUAAGUGUUUUUUUGUAGUGGAU
RNAcentral lists this long non-coding RNA (3134 nucleotides) under Solanum tuberosum (potato). RNAcentral describes it as "long non-coding RNA (STUB_LNC009495)". The record is from RNAcentral. Lineage: Eukaryota; Viridiplantae; Streptophyta; Magnoliopsida; Solanales; Solanaceae.